RNAcentral lists this ribosomal RNA (1283 nucleotides) under uncultured bacterium. Its description in RNAcentral is "bacterial SSU rRNA". It matches the Rfam family "Bacterial small subunit ribosomal RNA", at positions 90 to 1399 of the family's 1533-position model. The record is from RNAcentral.
ACUUAGUGGCGGACGGGUGAGUAACGCGUGAGGAACCUGCCUUUCAGUGGGGGACAACAGUUGGAAACGACUGCUAAUACCGCAUAAUGUAUUCUGACCGCAUGAUCGGAAUACCAAAGAUUUAUUGCUGAAAGAUGGCCUCGCGUCUGAUUAGAUAGUUGGUGAGGUAACGGCUCACCAAGGCGACGAUUGGUAGCCGGACUGAGAGGUUGAACGGCCACAUCGGGACUGAGACACGGCCCAGACUCCUACGGGAGGCAGCAGUGGGGGAUAUUGCACAAUGGGGGAAACCCUGAUGCAGCGACGCCGCGUGGAGGAAGAAGGUUUUCGGAUUGUAAACUCCUGUCGUUAGGGACGAUAAUGACGGUACCUAACAAGAAAGCACCGGCUAACUACGUGCCAGCAGCCGCGGUAAAACGUAGGGUGCAAGCGUUGUCCGGAAUUACUGGGUGUAAAGGGAGCGCAGGCGGACCGGCAAGUUGGAAGUGAAAACUAUGGGCUCAACCCAUAAAUUGCUUUCAAAACUGCUGGCCUUGAGUAGUGCAGAGGUAGGUGGAAUUCCCGGUGUAGCGGUGGAAUGCGUAGAUAUCGGGAGGAACACCAGUGGCGAAGGCGACCUACUGGGCACCAACUGACGCUGAGGCUCGAAAGCAUGGGUAGCAAACAGGAUUAGAUACCCUGGUAGUCCAUGCCGUAAACGAUGAUUACUAGGUGUUGGAGGAUUGACCCCUUCAGUGCCGCAGUUAACACAAUAAGUAAUCCACCUGGGGAGUACGACCGCAAGGUUGAAACUCAAAGGAAUUGACGGGGGCCCGCACAAGCAGUGGAGUAUGUGGUUUAAUUCGACGCAACGCGAAGAACCUUACCAAGUCUUGACAUCCUGCGACGCACAUAGAAAUAUGUGUUUCCUUCGGGACGCAGAGACAGGUGGUGCAUGGUUGUCGUCAGCUCGUGUCGUGAGAUGUUGGGUUAAGUCCCGCAACGAGCGCAACCCUUACUGUCAGUUACUACGCAAGAGGACUCUGGCAGGACUGCCGUUGACAAAACGGAGGAAGGUGGGGAUGACGUCAAAUCAUCAUGCCCUUUAUGACUUGGGCUACACACGUACUACAAUGGCGUUAAACAAAGAGAAGCAAGACCGCGAGGUGGAGCAAAACUCAGAAACAACGUCCCAGUUCGGACUGCAGGCUGCAACUCGCCUGCACGAAGUCGGAAUUGCUAGUAAUCGCGGAUCAGCAUGCCACGGUGAAUACGUUCCCGGGCCUUGUACACACCGCCCGUCA